This is a non-coding RNA of Mycena galopus ATCC 62051, 90 nucleotides long. The record is from the annotation of a GenBank genome assembly. NCBI's taxonomy places the organism in Eukaryota, Fungi, Basidiomycota, Agaricomycetes, Agaricales, Mycenaceae.
GCGGAUGUUGUGCAUGGUGCACUGCUGCGUCCCGUGGUCCAAGCGCAAACCGUUCUGCAGUAGUCCGAGGUUCGAUUCCUCGCAUCCGCA